UUGUGAGGAAGUCCAGAAAAGGAAUGUUGCAAAUGGCCUGGUGAAUAUUACUCACUGUAAUUUCUUUGGGAAUCCUGGUCCAAAACACAAAGGGUGUUACCAGGUGAAAUUCUCUCACGUAUAUCUCAUCAUUUAUUCACUUAACUCACCACAGGGACCAUCCCAGGCAGAGGCCCCGUGGAGAGGGCUCCUGAGCCACAGACAUAGCUUAGGGCCACUCUGGGGUGAGGACUGCCUUCCUGUCAUAGGCAUGAGAAGGAUGUCAACAAGUUGGUUGAAUGAUUAGGAAAAAAGAUACUGAGAAAAGAGAAAGAAAACAAAGCGGAUGGCAGAAUGGAAUGACACAUUUGUGAGUGAGUCUCAGCAGACCGAAAGCUGAGUCAAAGCACCACAAAACUCUGGGACCUUAUUUCCCAUCUCCUGGAAAGACGGGAGACGGAGCCACGCCAGGCCAGGCGUGAUGUUAAUCGUUCCAUCAAAAGCACCUAAGUCACUCUACCCCUCCAGAACAGGGAGCACAGAGGCUGGAGUGCAGUGGCACGAUCUUGGCUCAGUGCAACCUCCGCCUCCCAGGUUCAAGCGAUUCUCCUGCCUCAGCCUCCCAAGUAGCUGGGAUUACUAGGCACCCACCUUCAGGAUCAUGUCCUCCACCACGGACGCAUACACGUUCCUGUGGAGUGCCACGGGCUGCAGGGUGAUCCCAAUCUGGAAAAGCAGAAGAAAGCCGUUUGUUCGUAUCGCUGCUUUAGAAACAGCCUCUCUCCAAACAAGCAUACCUCCCUGACAUGCAAAGCGAUGCCUGGCUGGAAGGAGGACUCUGCAAACAU
Molecule: non-coding RNA, 827 nt
Filed under: Pan troglodytes (chimpanzee)
Lineage: Eukaryota; Metazoa; Chordata; Mammalia; Primates; Hominidae
Source: RNAcentral